AUGGCCAGCGCGGUGAACAAGGCUCCAGCGAGCGGUGGUGCCCGGCGCGUGCUGUUGUUUCCGCUGCCGUUUCAGGGCCACAUCAACCCGAUGCUGCAGCUCGCCGCCGUGCUGCACGCCCGGGGCCUCCGUGUCACCGUCUUCCACUCCGCGUUCAACGCCCCGGAACCCGCGCGCCGCCCCGCGGGCUACCGCUUCGUCACCGUCGGCGCCUCAGUGCCGAUCGCAGACCUCAUCCCCACCGGCAGCCACGGCAACUUCGCCGAGGCGCUGCUUCGCAUCAACGAGCCGCCGGCAUGCCUGGUGGUAGACUCCAACCUCCGGGGGAUGCAGGUGGUCGCCCACCGUCUCGGCGUGCCGACGCUGGUGCUGCGGACGGGUGCCGCCGCCUGCCUCUUGGCUUAUAUGGCCUUCCCGGCGCUCUGCGAUAAGGGCGUCCUCCCGCCACAAGAUCAUUUGCAACUGAAUAUGCAACUGGAUGGUCUCCACCCGCUCCAGCAGCAAGACAUGGUCUUCUCAGCCACAAUUCCACAUGAAACGAUGUCCACCUUAAUAGAACGCAUUGUGGUAUCAUCAAUGUGUUCUUCAGGUGUCAUCAUUAACACCUUCAGCGACCUCGAAGAUGCUGAGCUACAAAAGAUCAUUGAUGGCAUGGGCGUUCCGGUGUAUGCGAUCGGUCCGCUUCACAAGAUAUCUUUAGGUGCCCAGAGCAGCCUGUUGGCUCAAGAUAGAACAUGUUUGGAUUGGUUGGACAAGCAAGAAGUAGGAUCUGUUCUGUUCGUGAGCUUCGGGAGCUUGGCAUCCAUGGAUCAGGAAGAGCUAGUGGAGACUGCAUGGGGCUUGGCCAACAGUCGCAUGCCAUUUCUUUGGGUGAUCCGGCCUGACUCGGUUCAGGGUUCAGGGAAGAUAGGCCUACCCGACGGCUUUGAGGAAGAGGCACGAGAUAGGGGAAUGGUGGUGAGCUGGGCCCCACAACAAGAAGUUCUUGGGCACCAGGCGAUUGGUGGAUUUUGGACCCAUAAUGGCUGGAACUCAACGUUGGAGAGCAUAAGUGAGGGUGUUCCAAUGAUAUGUAGACCACAUUUCGGCGACCAAAUGAUAAAUGCCAGGUAUGUCCAGGAGGUGUGGAAGAUAGGGUUUCGGUUAGAGGGCAAGAUGGACAGGGACAAUAUUCAGAGGAGUGUUAAAAAGUUGUUUUGCCACGACCAAGGUGGAGAGAUGAGGCGAAGGGCAAAUAAUCUCAAAGACAAAGCAACCCGGUGCAUUAUGAAAGGAGGCUCUUCACAAACUGGAAUUGAUUUGUUGGUGAAUUGCAUAAUGACAUUACCUUCUUCCAUUUAG
This 1341-nucleotide ribosomal RNA is filed under the name Triticum aestivum (bread wheat). RNAcentral's name for it is "partial small subunit ribosomal RNA". The record is from RNAcentral. Lineage: Eukaryota; Viridiplantae; Streptophyta; Magnoliopsida; Poales; Poaceae.